CAGCCGCCGCGGUAAUACGAAGGGUGCAAGCGUUAAUCGGAAUGACUGGGCGUAAAGGGCGCGUAGGCGGCGAUCAAAGUCAGGCGUGAAAUUCCUGGGCUCAACCUGGGGGCUGCGCUUGAUACUUGGUUGCUUGAGUGGGGAAGAGGGUCGUGGAAUUCCCAGUGUAGAGGUGAAAUUCGUAGAUAUUGGGAAGAACACCGGUGGCGAAGGCGGCGACCUGGUCCUUGACUGACGCUGAGGCGCGAAAGCGUGGGGAGCAAACAGGAUUAGAGACCCCGGUAGUCCCUGUCUCUUAUAC
Molecule: ribosomal RNA, 301 nt
Filed under: uncultured bacterium
Lineage: Bacteria
Description: partial 16S ribosomal RNA
Rfam family: Bacterial small subunit ribosomal RNA
Source: RNAcentral